Molecule: ribosomal RNA, 497 nt
Filed under: uncultured bacterium
Lineage: Bacteria
Description: partial 16S ribosomal RNA
Rfam family: Bacterial small subunit ribosomal RNA
Source: RNAcentral
GAUGAACGCUGGCGGCGUGCCUAAUACAUGCAAGUCGAGCGAACGGACGAGAAGCUUGCUUCUCUGAUGUUAGCGGCGGACGGGUGAGUAACACGUGGAUAACCUACCUAUAAGACUGGGAUAACUUCGGGAAACCGGAGCUAAUACCGGAUAAUAUUUUGAACCGCAUGGUUCAAAAGUGAAAGACGGUCUUGCUGUCACUUAUAGAUGGAUCCGCGCUGCAUUAGCUAGUUGGUAAGGUAACGGCUUACCAAGGCAACGAUGCAUAGCCGACCUGAGAGGGUGAUCGGCCACACUGGAACUGAGACACGGUCCAGACUCCUACGGGAGGCAGCAGUAGGGAAUCUUCCGCAAUGGGCGAAAGCCUGACGGAGCAACGCCGCGUGAGUGAUGAAGGUCUUCGGAUCGUAAAACUCUGUUAUUAGGGAAGAACAUAUGUGUAAGUAACUGUGCACAUCUUGACGGUACCUAAUCAGAAAGCCACGUCUAACUACGUG